Molecule: ribosomal RNA, 219 nt
Filed under: uncultured bacterium
Lineage: Bacteria
Description: partial 16S ribosomal RNA
Rfam family: Bacterial small subunit ribosomal RNA
Source: RNAcentral
AGAGUUUGAUCAUGGCUCAGGAUGAACGCUAGCUACAGGCUUAACACAUGCAAGUCGAGGGGCAGCAUGGUCUUAGCUUGCUAAGGCCGAUGGCGACCGGCGCACGGGUGAGUAACACGUAUCCAACCUGCCGUCUACUCUUGGACAGCCUUCUGAAAGGAAGAUUAAUACAAGAUGGCAUCAUGAGUCCGCAUGUUCACAUGAUUAAAGGUAUUCCGG